Molecule: ribosomal RNA, 555 nt
Filed under: uncultured bacterium
Lineage: Bacteria
Description: partial 16S ribosomal RNA
Rfam family: Bacterial small subunit ribosomal RNA
Source: RNAcentral
UAAGGAAUAUUGGUCAAUGGGCGGAAGCCUGAACCAGCCAUGCCGCGUGCAGGAUGACUGCCCUAUGGGUUGUAAACUGCUUUUGUCCAGGAAUAAACCUAGAUACGUGUAUCUAGCUGAAUGUACUGGAAGAAUAAGGAUCGGCUAACUCCGUGCCAGCAGCCGCGGUAAUACGGAGGAUCCGAGCGUUAUCCGGAUUUAUUGGGUUUAAAGGGUGCGUAGGCGGCCUAUUAAGUCAGGGGUGAAAUACGGUGGCUCAACCAUCGCAGUGCCUUUGAUACUGAUGGGCUUGAAUCCAUUUGAAGUGGGCGGAAUAAGACAAGUAGCGGUGAAAUGCAUAGAUAUGUCUUAGAACUCCGAUUGCGAAGGCAGCUCACUAAGCUGGUAUUGACGCUGAUGCACGAAAGCGUGGGGAUCGAACAGGAUUAGAUACCCUGGUAGUCCACGCCCUAAACGAUGAUAACUCGAUGUUGGCGAUAGACAGCCAGCGUCCAAGCGAAAGCGUUAAGUUAUCCACCUGGGGAGUACCGCCCGCAAGGGUGAAACUCAAAGGAA